AUAAUUUAUUUGAAAGAUCCUCUCUCUACCAACACAGUUUUUCUUUUUACCAUUUUCAGAAAAGUUCCAAGCUCUUUUGUUCUUAAACCAGAGCAUUGCCUCUCCAUUUUUGGGUGAGAACAUACGUCUCUCUCACUCCAAGCUCUCUUUCUUCUCUGAUUUGACCUGCAAAUCUGUCCAGAGAGCCUCAAUGUUCAGUUUUGAAACUCAAAAUCCCGCCCAAAUUUGAACCCAAGCAAACCCUAAUUCGGACAAGCUUUUGGCCACCGCUCAUCCGAGUUAGUGAGUAGAUCUGAUGCCGAGAUUGACGCCCUAGUUCGCUGCACUUCAAAAGGAACUUUCUGCAAGACAGAAAAGGGUGCAUGACCAAGUAUUGAUGUCACACGAUACUGAGAAACUUAGAUUUGGGACCAGCAACAUGUGUAGUAGGAUUGAGGAUGUAGAAUCCAUCCCUGAGGCUACCAAUCCCCUUCACCAUGCCAUUGGUCAAAAACAGGAAGUUGGAUCAAGCAGGUUAGAGUUGGAGGCUUCAUUCUGCUGUGACCACUCACCAGUGUUCAGAUUAGCACUAUGUGUUGCAGCUGAGGGAUUCUCAUAGUGCAAAUCAAGGGAAAACCUGGAAUUGGAACAAUGUUUGAUGACUAAAAAUUUCGAAGCAGUGAUUAUAACAAGCAAGAUGAUCAAAUGGAGCAGACCAAUUGGUAAUACUUGGAAACUCAAUACAAAUGGGAGCUACAUGAGAUAUCAAAACAAGGCUGGAGCGGGAGAGCAAAUCAAGGGAAAAACCUGGAAUGAAGCUCAAGCACAUACACUACACCUGGAAUUGGAACAAAGUAUGUUUGACGGCUGAAAAUUUCGAAACAAUGAUUAUAACAAGCAAGAUGAUCAAAUGGAGCAGACCAAUUGGUAAUACUUGGAAACUCAAUACAGAUGGGGAGCUACAUUAGAAAUCAAAACAAAGCUGGAGCGGGAGGUAUUAUUAGAAACAGAAUUGAGAACGUGAUUAUGGCAUUCUAAUAUCCCACUCAAUUCUGCACUAACAACUAUAGUGAAGGCAAAACAGACUUAAUUAGUAUAUCAUGGUUCCUUCAUCCGCAAUUUGAAGCCCUGGAAGUCUAAUUGGACCCUCUUUUAGUGGUUGAACUGAUCAAUGGAAUUAUUAAAUCAUCAUCGAGAAUCCAAAGAAUAAUUGAAGAGAUAGUAUCUAAGGUUGUUCAAAGGAGAUUGGUGAUGUCGAAACUGUGGUUGAUGUUGCUGCCUCAGAGUAUGGUGUUAUUGAUUUGAAGGAUUCGGAUGAUGAUGCCUCAGUGUAGAAUCUCUCCUCUCCGCAACACCAUUUUGUUGUGGAGUGUGGACGCAACUGCUUUGAUGAAUGAUAAUUUUGGAUGUAAAAACUGUAAGAUAAACAGUGUUAAAAAAUUCAGAACAGAGAAUAGAGUUUCUACUAGUUGAAGAAAAUGAAUUAAGACAACAUACACAUCA
Molecule: long non-coding RNA, 1482 nt
Organism: Solanum dulcamara
Lineage: Eukaryota; Viridiplantae; Streptophyta; Magnoliopsida; Solanales; Solanaceae
Exons: 4
Source: RefSeq, a predicted model, not a curated record